This 253-nucleotide ribosomal RNA is filed under the name uncultured bacterium. RNAcentral's name for it is "partial 16S ribosomal RNA". It matches the Rfam family "Bacterial small subunit ribosomal RNA", at positions 524 to 776 of the family's 1533-position model. RNAcentral also lists the same sequence under 2 other names. The record is from RNAcentral.
UACAGAGGUCCCGAGCGUUGUUCGGAUUCAUUGGGCGUAAAGGGUGCGUAGGUGGCGCUGUAAGUGGGGUGUGAAAUCCCGGGGCUUAACCCCGGGACUGCAUUCCAUACUGCGGUGCUUGAGGACUGGAGAGGAGACUGGAAUUUACGGUGUAGCAGUGAAAUGCGUAGAGAUCGUAAGGAAGACCAGUGGCGAAGGCGGGUCUCUGGACAGUUCCUGACACUGAGGCACGAAGGCCAGGGGAGCAAACGGG